CUCCCAGCGCGGAUAGCCAGUACAUUUGCCUCAGUUUUUUGCUUUCUCAAUGGUAAUGUGUUAGUUUUAUUACUGAUUAGUUCGGGGGAAGAGGAUCAUGCCUCGUUCGUUGGUAGCACGCAUUACGCAAUCGAUCUCCACGAAUAUACGAAUCUAAUGCAAUUUUCGUAAGAGGAUUAUAUGAUUAUUGUUAAAAGUUAAAAAAAUGUAACGGUAUUGGCAUUGCAAAUUAGAGUUCUGAUUGUCCUUUUAAAAUCAUUGAGAAGAAUUUAAAAUCACUGCAAUUUCUUUAAAAUUUUCAAAAUGCUUAGUUUUGUUGUUGACUACUAUCGAAGUCUUUUGACAUCAUCAGACUGAGCAAAGCUGCAGAGAGAUCUCUCACUGUCUUCCUCCUUUUUUUGAUCUGCAAUUCCUAAUUAAUUAUUGCAGUGAGAGAACCAUUUCUUCUGUUCUUCAACAGGAGCAGUUGUUUCCACUUUCUGGGAUCUCCUUACCCUCCAAUGUGAUAGAGAAAACCCAUGCUUAUCUCUGCCUACACCUGUAUAUAGAUCUGCCAAUGGGCUUUUGCUUUUGUAUUAUACAAUUUUUGGAUUUCUAGACAGGUUUGAAGAAUGAGUAAUGGUGGGGAAUCAUCCCAUAAUCGAACCCCCAGGGACUUAAUGUGCCACGCUGGUGCUGGUUCUGCUGCAGUUUAGCCUAAACAAGUGCUAUUGCAGCUACUUUCGUUGGCUCAUUGUAUGUGAUCAAGACGCGGUUACAGCUAUAUGGCUUGCAUGCUACUCCCAAUUCAGGUCGUGCAGGUAGCAUCAUUGUUACGAGUCUCCAGAAAAUGAUUAGGACUGAAGGUUUUAAGGGAUUAUAUCGUGGUCUUUCUCCAACAAUAAUAGCGCUACUUCCAAACUGGACUGUUUAUUUCACAGUUUAUGAGCAACGCAAAGGUCUACUCCUGUCGCAUGGGGAUGGGAAUAACCAACUCACGGUUGGUGCAAACAUGGUAGCUGCCGCAGGUUCUGGGGCUGCCACAUCCACUGCUACAAAUCCAUUGUGGGCUGUGUAAACAAGACUCCAAGAAAAAUGAUAUUUUUGAGGGACUAAAAAAGAAAUUUUGCCAAUGAGGAGUGAUUUCUACAGCCAAAGAUGUCAAAAAUAAGUUUUCAAGUUGAAAUAUGCAUUGACCAAAUUGCACAUAACUUGC
This 1195-nucleotide unclassified non-coding RNA is filed under the name Hevea brasiliensis (rubber tree). The record is from RNAcentral. Lineage: Eukaryota; Viridiplantae; Streptophyta; Magnoliopsida; Malpighiales; Euphorbiaceae.